GACGAACGCUGGCGGCGCGCUUAACACAUGCAAGUCGAACGGAAAGGCCUGCUUUCCCUUGUGGAUUGCGGGUACUCGAGUGGCGAACGGGUGAGUAACACGUGAGUGAUCUGCCCCCAACUUGGGUAUAAGCCUGGGAAACUGGGUCUAAUUCCCGAUAGGACUGCAGGGUGGUGCCUGUGGUGGAAAACGAUUUUCUAGUGGUUGGGGAUGAGCUCGCGGCCUAUCAGCUUGUUGGUGGGGUAAUGGCCUACCAAGGCGGCGACGGGUAGCCGGCCUGGGAGGGUGGACGGCAACAUUGGGACUGAGAUACGGCCCAGACUGCUAUGGGAGGCAGAAGUGGGGAAUAUUGCACAGUGGGCGGAAGCCUGAUGCAGCGACGCAGCGUGGGGGAUGACGGCCUUCGGGUUGUAAACUCCUUUCGACCGCGAGGAAGCCACCUGGUUGGAAGGGUGGUGACGGUAGUGGUAGAAGAAGCACCGGCUAACUACGUG
RNAcentral lists this ribosomal RNA (494 nucleotides) under uncultured bacterium. RNAcentral describes it as "partial 16S ribosomal RNA". It matches the Rfam family "Bacterial small subunit ribosomal RNA", at positions 28 to 507 of the family's 1533-position model. The record is from RNAcentral.